RNAcentral lists this ribosomal RNA (402 nucleotides) under uncultured bacterium. RNAcentral's name for it is "bacterial SSU rRNA". It matches the Rfam family "Bacterial small subunit ribosomal RNA", at positions 355 to 774 of the family's 1533-position model. The record is from RNAcentral.
UGGGGAAUAUUGCACAAUGGGCGAAAGCCUGAUGCAGCAACGCCGCGUGAGUGAUGAAGGCCUUCGGGUCGUAAAGCUCUUUGAUCAGGGAUGAUAAUGACAGUACCUGAAAAACAAGCCACGGCUAACUACGUGCCAGCAGCCGCGGUAAUACGUAGGUGGCGAGCGUUGUCCGGAAUUACUGGGCGUAAAGGAUGCGUAGGUGGAUAUUUAAGUGGGAUGUGAAAUCCCCGGGCUCAACCCGGGAACUGCAUUCCAAACUGGGUAUCUAGAGUGCAGGAGAGGAAAGCGGAAUUCCUAGUGUAGCGGUGAAAUGCUUAGAUAUUAGGAGGAACACCAGUGGCGAAGGCGGCUUUCUGAACUGUAACUGACACUGAGGCAUGAAAGCGUGGGUAGCAAACA